This 330-nucleotide long non-coding RNA is filed under the name Olea europaea (common olive). Its description in RNAcentral is "long non-coding RNA (OEUR_LNC012326)". Lineage: Eukaryota; Viridiplantae; Streptophyta; Magnoliopsida; Lamiales; Oleaceae. The record is from RNAcentral.
AAAGUCGAGUUUGCGUGUUUUUGACUCAGUCGCAUUUGAUCCAAGACAUGACAAAGUCUAUGAGUUCAAUAAAUUUCUCUUAAAUGUUGUUGUCUUCCGUCCCAUCAACUGUCAGAGGCUAACUACUCCCACCAAAGGCCUCGUACUCAAAUAGACUAAUCUGAUUUCAUUGUAAGACUUUUCUUGAAUAUAAUCCCAAUAUAUAAACAUAAAACGUGUAUGCACAGUUAUAGUUGAAUUACACUAUUAUUCAUUUGCUCUAGCCUUGAAGAAUAUCCCAUGGCUAUUACAAAAAAUCAAUCAGGCUGCUGGUAUGUUGAGUUCACAGUG